GGGCGCGUAGCUCAACGGUUAGAGCCGGCCGCUCAUAACGGUCUGGUUGCAGGUUCGAGUCCUGCCGCGCCCA
RNAcentral lists this transfer RNA (73 nucleotides) under Pseudomonadota bacterium. Its description in RNAcentral is "Proteobacteria bacterium (sediment metagenome) tRNA-Met". It matches the Rfam family "tRNA". Rfam says of the family: Transfer RNA (tRNA) molecules are approximately 80 nucleotides in length. The record is from RNAcentral. Lineage: Bacteria; Pseudomonadati; Pseudomonadota.